Molecule: ribosomal RNA, 253 nt
Filed under: uncultured bacterium
Lineage: Bacteria
Description: partial 16S ribosomal RNA
Rfam family: Bacterial small subunit ribosomal RNA
Source: RNAcentral
UACAGAGGGUGCAAGCGUUAAUCGGAAUUACUGGGCGUAAAGCGUGCGUGGACGGUCAUGUAAGUCGGGUGUGAAAGCCCCGGGCUCAACCUGGGAAUUGCAUUCGAGACUGCAUGGCUAGGAUGCGGAAGAGGGAAGCGGAAUUUCCGGUGUAGCGGUGAAAUGCGUAGAUAUCGGAAGGAACACCAGUGGCGAAAGCGGCUUCCUGGUCCAGCAUCGACGUUCAGGCACGAAAGCGUGGGGAGCAAACAGG